Molecule: ribosomal RNA, 437 nt
Filed under: uncultured Oscillospiraceae bacterium
Lineage: Bacteria; Bacillati; Bacillota; Clostridia; Eubacteriales; Oscillospiraceae
Description: bacterial SSU rRNA
Rfam family: Bacterial small subunit ribosomal RNA
Source: RNAcentral
ACGGGAGGCAGCAGUGGGGAAUAUUGGGCAAUGGGCGAAAGCCUGACCCAGCAACGCCGCGUGAAGGAAGAAGGUUUUCGGAUUGUAAACUUCUUUUAUCAGGGACGAAGGAAGUGACGGUACCUGAUGAAUAAGCCACGGCUAACUACGUGCCAGCAGCCGCGGUAAUACGUAGGUGGCAAGCGUUAUCCGGAUUUAUUGGGUGUAAAGGGCGCGUAGGCGGGGAUGCAAGUCAGAUGUGAAAUCCAUGGGCUUAACCCAUGAACUGCAUUUGAAACUGUAUUUCUUGAGUGUCGGAGAGGUAGACGGAAUUCCUAGUGUAGCGGUGAAAUGCGUAGAUAUUAGGAGGAACACCAGUGGCGAAGGCGGCUUGCUGGACGACAACUGACGCUGAGGCGCGAAAGCGUGGGGAGCAAACAGGAUUAGAUACCCUGGUA